UACGGAGAAUGCGAGCGUUAUCCGGAUUUAUUGGGUUUAAAGGGUGCGUAGGCGGACGCUUAAGUCAGCGGUAAAAUUGCGGGGCUCAACCUCGUCGAGCCGUUGAAACUGGGUGCCUUGAGUGGGCGAGAAGUACGCGGAAUGCGUGGUGUAGCGGUGAAAUGCAUAGAUAUCACGCAGAACUCCGAUUGCGAAGGCAGCGUACCGGCGCCCAACUGACGCUGAAGCACGAAGGCGUGGGUAUCGAACAGG
Molecule: ribosomal RNA, 252 nt
Filed under: uncultured bacterium
Lineage: Bacteria
Description: partial 16S ribosomal RNA
Rfam family: Bacterial small subunit ribosomal RNA
Source: RNAcentral